Molecule: ribosomal RNA, 484 nt
Filed under: uncultured bacterium
Lineage: Bacteria
Description: partial 16S ribosomal RNA
Rfam family: Bacterial small subunit ribosomal RNA
Source: RNAcentral
AAUGAACGUUGGCGGCGUGGAUUAGGCAUGCAAGUCGUGCGGAAAGGCUCCUUCGGGAGUACUCGAGCGGCGAAAGGGAGAGUAACGCGUGGAUAUCUACCCCCUGGCCUGGGAUAGCGGCGGGAAACUGCCGGUAAUACCAGAUAAUAUCUGCGGAUCAAAGGUGUGAUUCCGCCGGGGGAUGAGUCCGCGUCCUAUUAGCUAGUUGGUGAGGUAACGGCCCACCAAGGCUGAGAUGGGUACCGGGUGUGAGAGCAUGGCCCGGCUCACUGGGACUGAGACACUGCCCAGACACCUACGGGUGGCUGCAGUCGAGAAUCUUCGGCAAUGGGCGCAAGCCUGACCGAGCGACGCCGCGUGCGGGAUGAAGGCCUUCGGGUUGUAAACCGCUGUCAGAGGGGAGGAAAUGCAUGGGGGUUCUCCCUCAUGUUUGACCUAUCCUCAGAGGAAGUACGGGCUAAGUUCGUGCCAGCCGCCGCCGUAA